GNAGGCGUGCACUUCUCCCCUUGUAGGUCGUCGUGNCCCAUUGGAUUAUGUUGUCUAAGGCUUAUAAUGGAGNCCGUGGCAUUAAGUUUCGGCUUUAAUNACCCGGACUUAUAAUGUCCCGACAUCUAUCCGAUGGUAUAAUUAUGAUGAUAGAUCGCUAUAAAUGUGAUAUGAGCGUUCAGAUCCAUAACAAAUUCUUAUUAUGAAAUAGUGGAAAUCGGAUUUAAUGCCGAUUCUACACAUAUGGUAUUGUUAGUUGUGGUAUUCUCGAACCGUUCUUUAUCAUCAGUCAACGGCGUUUAUGUUUUGGGUAAUUACAGGACCCGUCUUGAAACACGGACCAAGGAGUCUAGCAUGUGCGCAAGUCAUUGGGACUUUGUGAAACCUAAAGGCGUAAUGAAAGUGAAAUAUUUGUGAAUUUUCGUAAUUCUCUGAAUUUAAGGGAAGAUGGGUAACGUUUUUUAUGUUACCUCGCAUUCCCGGGGCGUCGCGUACUUAUUGCAAGUUGCGGCGCACCAAGAGCGUNCACGCUGGGACCCGAAAGAUGGUNAACUAUGCCUGGUCAGGAUGAAGUCAGGGGAAACCCUGAUGGAGGUCCGUAGCGAUUCUGACGUGCAAAUCGAUCGUAUGAA
RNAcentral lists this ribosomal RNA (632 nucleotides) under Calathus cinctus. RNAcentral describes it as "eukaryotic LSU rRNA". It matches the Rfam family "Eukaryotic large subunit ribosomal RNA", at positions 452 to 910 of the family's 3401-position model. Lineage: Eukaryota; Metazoa; Arthropoda; Insecta; Coleoptera; Carabidae. The record is from RNAcentral.